AGUGAACGCUGGCGGCAGGCCUAAUACAUGCAAGUCGAACGGCAGCACAGUGGAGCUUGCUCCAUGGGUGGCGAGUGGCGGACGGGUGAGGAAUACAUGGGAAUCUGCCCAGUCGUGGGGGAUAACGUAUGGAAACGUACGCUAAUACCGCAUGCGCCCUUCGGGGGAAAGUCGGGGACCGCAAGGCCUGACGCGAUUGGAUGAGCCCAUGUUCGAUUAGCUAGUUGGCGGGGUAACGGCCCACCAAGGCGACGAUCGAUAGCUGGUCUGAGAGGAUGAUCAGCCACACUGGAACUGAGACACGGUCCAGACUCCUACGGGAGGCAGGCAGUCGAGAAUAGUCUACAAUGGCCGGAAGGCUGAUAGUGCGACGCCGCGUGAACGAGGGAGCCCUUCGGGGUGUAAAGUUCUUUUCUAUACGAGCAGUGCUAUAUAUAUGGAUAGUAUAUAUAGAGGAUAGUAGUAUAGGAAUAAGCAA
This 478-nucleotide ribosomal RNA is filed under the name uncultured bacterium. RNAcentral describes it as "bacterial SSU rRNA". It matches the Rfam family "Bacterial small subunit ribosomal RNA", at positions 29 to 493 of the family's 1533-position model. The record is from RNAcentral.